UGCCAGCCGCCGCGGUAACACGAACCGUCCAAACGUUAUUCGGUAUCACUGGGCUUAAAGCGUGCAUAGGCGGCUUGGUAGGUGAGAUGUGAAAGCCCCGGGCUCAACCUGGGAACUGCAUUCCAAACUGUCAAGCUAGAGUAUGGUAGAGGGAGGUAGAAUUUCCUGUGUAGCGGUGAAAUGCGUAGAUAUAGGAAGGAAUACCGGUGGCGAAGGCGGCCUCCUGGACCAAUACUGACGCUGAGGUGCGAAAGCGUGGGGAGCAAACAGGAUUAGAUA
RNAcentral lists this ribosomal RNA (279 nucleotides) under uncultured bacterium. Its description in RNAcentral is "partial 16S ribosomal RNA". It matches the Rfam family "Bacterial small subunit ribosomal RNA", at positions 506 to 784 of the family's 1533-position model. The record is from RNAcentral.